GCAAACUUGGUCAUUUAGAGGAAGUAAAAGUCGUAACAAGGUUUCCGUAGGUGAACCUGCGGAAGGAUCAUUUCCAAUCCAAAAAACUUAUCAACCCACUGUGUGCACGGUCUUAAUUUUCACCUUUCUGAGAAAUAAACAUGUAUGCAAAUAUGUGUUUGGAGUAUCAGAAAGAAUUUUAUAUUACAUCCUUAUUUACACCCCAUGUAGAUCUUAUCGAAAAAACAACAAGUUUAAUUACAUUAAACAACUUUUAACGGUGGAUCUCUUGGCUCGUGCAUCGAUGAAGAACGCAGC
RNAcentral lists this unclassified non-coding RNA (297 nucleotides) under uncultured fungus. RNAcentral describes it as "partial contains small subunit ribosomal RNA, internal transcribed spacer 1, and 5.8S ribosomal RNA". The stretch from base 1 to 73 matches the Rfam family "Eukaryotic small subunit ribosomal RNA", at positions 1759 to 1831 of the family's 1831-position model. The record is from RNAcentral. Lineage: Eukaryota; Fungi.